UGAAGAGAUUUGUCCUCUGUUGCCCUUUGAAAAAGGGAUCGUUGGUGCUAGUGAUGCUUAGUUAUUCUUCUGGGCACAUUCACUGUCCCUGUCUAUGCCAAGCUGUGACACCGUUUCUGGUCCAGCUGGAGGUGCCUGACUUGCUCAUUUUGCCAGAGGCUAAAGGAAGAUUGAUCAGGAAGAGUUCAGUCACUGGGUUGAAGAUACAGAGUGGAUGGCAUGGAGAUGUCAUGGCAUGGCAGAGAUUAGAACAGAACAGAGUACAGCAGAAUAUAUUUCUGAAGCUGAUGGCUGCUUCACCAUCCUAUUCCCUGGCCUCCUGAUCUUGAGGCCUAUUCUGUUAUGGCAGAAGGAGCGAGAGAGGUUAACUGGGGGAUUAACUGCUCCAUAUACAACCCGCACAGUUUAUGCACUGGAGGAACAUAUGCAGUGAUCUUCCAGGAAAAGCAGUAAUGUGGUUUCCUGGCAGGAUGGGAGAAAUAAAGCAAUGCCUGUCCUUUGUAUGGGAGUUAAGUGGUUUUGGGUCACUUGAUCUACUCUUUGCAAUAGGAAAGACUGCACAUGUAGAGGGACAGCUCGGGAGGUAUUAUAAAUAUUAGGAUGACAUGGCAGCUUAGCUGUUAAUUUUCCAUUAUUUAUUUAUUUAUAAAACUGAUUCUAGGAGCAUCCCCUGCCUCAGGGGAUGUCAAAGGGCCUGUGAAAGGGUCUUCCUCUUCAAAGGUUGCGAUAGCGUCCCAGGGACUUAUUUGUCAGCACAACUGACAAUGGCAUCACAGUAGCUGCACUGUGCUUUGAGGCCUUUCUUGAGGAUCCUGGUGCAAGACAGAGAAGAAUUCACCAGGAGGAGGUUGUCCAUUUAUGCAAAAUCUUCUGUUUAUAAAAUUUUGCUGCUGAAGAAAAGUUGACCAAGAAUCAAAUCUCUUCUGUGUGCGCAAGGCUACAACAGUCAGUUCUGUACUCAUUUUGCACUUCCUUUUCUUUCCCCCCACAAUUCUGUCAUUCAACGUAUGCUCAUAGGAGACUUCAAGAGAAGCUGCCAACAACAUUAUCAACAUCAAGAGACAGACACACCAAUGUAAUUGAAAAGGUCUUAAUAACAGGCAUGGGUAGUUGCAAUUUGCUCCCUCUUCAAAGGCAAAAAUGAAAGAGGAAAACAAAAUGCUCUAACAAAUCAGAUGUGCACAGAAGUGCCUCUUGCAGCCAGAGGAGGUUGGUUGGUAGGGUUGAAAGUCAGAGAAUUUCACCCCACGAUUUAUCUUUCAACCAGGUAAGGGCAGGAUUAGCAUGUGGGCUCUCCAAAGCUGCUCCCCCAGUGAGAAGGAAGAGCCAUUCAUCACUAUUUACUGGGCUUUUGUUCUGCUGAAAGCCCUUGCAGAG
Molecule: long non-coding RNA, 1377 nt
Organism: Gallus gallus (chicken)
Lineage: Eukaryota; Metazoa; Chordata; Aves; Galliformes; Phasianidae
Source: Ensembl